GCUCGCUGUUGUAGGCAGGAGCGUGCGUGUGCAGCGAUUCAUCAGACGCUGGGCAGAACUUGUGCUGAACCCUUGCGAAGAUGUGUUGCGAUGGUCUAGAAGUGCGAGGGCUCAUUUGAAGACCCUGACCUGGAGUUACACGCAGGCUUCAGUUCUUUGCGGGAAUGGGACUCAUUCUCGGGGUUCCACGACUGGCCGUUAUUCAACAUGCCAAGGGUUUGGCCUGAGAGUCUCGAUCGUGUUCGGAAGCCUAAGAUCUCGGGGCUCUGGAGACAGGCGGAUCAAGGGUCAGCGUCAUGACAGGAGACUCGUGUAACGUUAAGGAGGCCGGAAAAUUUUUCGCUGUGACACUGCUAUGGGCCCAAAGACAGGAGGUGUCUUCAACCUCACAUCUGGAGGGUGAUGGGAUGAUUGGUGAAAGCAAUCUGUGUGGAUACUGUCUGGCCUGCCUAGUGAUUCCACCAUUUUCUGCUUUUAUUCAUCUAAAUUGACAAGAAGACGAUAAUCUAAUCACACCUCCUUGCAUAGGUACAAGGGACCACCCCACUGUGCUAUGGACAUUCAGAGAAGUGGUCAUCUGGUCCUUGGAGUCGAUUUUAAUAAGUAUCAUGAUGCCAAAAACUCACUCUCACUUGAAAGCAAGAGGACUAGUAUUUCCAUAUGCUUAGUGGGUAAUUAACUAUGUAUAAGUAUUUUUAAGUUCAAACCCUUCACAUAUCUUUCAACAAGAUACUGAUGUUCCAAGAACUUCUGAGAAUGGGAAAGCAAGACAACGCUCAGCUGGCAGGCUCUGGAUUUCUGCAUAUACUGUAACUUUGCAUAUGGAGAUGGUGGAAACUGCUGCCAGACUGACUGCACAGGAAUGAUGAGAGCCCUGAUUCUCCCCCAGCAUCAUUAUGCAACCUCAGAAUCAAUGUAGCUUGUGAUUCCAAGCCAAGGUCCUGAAGAAACUUUAAAAAGUUGCUGCAUGGACUGAGCUAAUUUAUCACCUUAAGUGGAAAGGAACCUUAGGACCUCACACUCCAAAUAAAAGUCACAGUUGGAGAGAAGUGGAGAGGCCGGAAACAAAGUGUAUCUAACCGCCGGUUUCAGUUCAUCAAAGAAAGUGAGUAGCAUCGUGACCAUGAGACCAACCACACACCAAAUAUGGAGCAUUCGGACAUUUCUGCUCUCAUGGGCAUCCACAUUCUUUUGAAGACCCUGACCUGGAGAUGCACUGUGACUUCAGCUCUUUGCGGGAAUGGGACCAGCUCUCAGGGCCUCACGACCGGUCGCCUUUUGAUAUCCCAAGGACAUGGCCUGGAAGGCAAGCGCACCUCCAAGGUUCCAGAUUCUCGUGGCUCUGGAGACGAGCUGAUUCUAGGCCAGUGCCCUUGACUGAAGCUUCGCGGGAGUACACGGAACAUCAGGAGAAGCGGGAUAGCUGCCAGGGGAUGUUUGUCCGGAGUCCUGAGCCUUUUUGGUGCUGACUCUCUGGGCACAGAGCUUAAAAAAAGUGGUGCGACAGAUUUUCAUCAUAAAUCGGUGAGUUGUCUGUUAUGUUUCCCCCUUUCUCUGUGAAACGGAGACAUCUCUUUUUCCCUUAUUAGCCUGUGGUAUGUCGAAUUACUGGGUGAACAAUUAGGUUUUGGGAUACUGCAAGUCUGUGUCUUUAUUGAUGCUUGCUGCAUGCUUGAGUGCUCGG
Molecule: long non-coding RNA, 1684 nt
Organism: Hypanus sabinus (Atlantic stingray)
Lineage: Eukaryota; Metazoa; Chordata; Chondrichthyes; Myliobatiformes; Dasyatidae
Exons: 7
Source: RefSeq, a predicted model, not a curated record